AUUGAACGCUGGCGGCAGGCUUAACACAUGCAAGUCGAACGAGUGGCGGACGGGUGAGUAAUGUCUGGGAAACUGCCUGAUGGAGGGGGAUAACUACUGGAAACGGUAGCUAAUACCGCAUACCAUCAGAUGUGCCCAGAUGGGAUUAGCUAGUAGGUGGGGUAACGGCUCACCAAGGCGACGAUCCCUAGCUGGUCUGAGAGGAUGACCAGCCACACUGGAACUGAGACACGGUCCAGAAUCCUACGGGAGGCAGGAGUGGGGAAUAUUGCACAAGGGGCGCAAGCCUGAGGCAGCCAUGCGGCGUGUAUGAAGAAGGCCUUCGGGUUGUAAAGCACGUUCAGCGGGGAGGCGUUACUCGCAGAAGAAGCACCGGCUAACUCCGUGCCAGCAGCCGCGGUAAUUC
RNAcentral lists this ribosomal RNA (406 nucleotides) under uncultured bacterium. RNAcentral describes it as "partial 16S ribosomal RNA". It matches the Rfam family "Bacterial small subunit ribosomal RNA", at positions 30 to 526 of the family's 1533-position model. The record is from RNAcentral.